AGAGAGACUUUAUCUAAGUGAAUGAACACAAAUUAAAUGAGGCUUUGCUUGAUAUUUUCUUUCUUUAAUCAUUCACUUCUUGAUUCUUGUGGUUGCUAAUGUUGUUAUGUGGCUUAAUCUGGCUGAUACAAGGUGUAUUUCACACACAUGGUAAUAACUUAAGAGAUGUGUCAAUAGUUUUAACCAUAUCUCUUUUAACUUAAAAGUUAAGUAAAG
Molecule: long non-coding RNA, 216 nt
Filed under: Panax ginseng (ginseng)
Lineage: Eukaryota; Viridiplantae; Streptophyta; Magnoliopsida; Apiales; Araliaceae
Description: long non-coding RNA (PGIN_LNC012311)
Source: RNAcentral